This is an RNA transcript of Carlito syrichta (Philippine tarsier), 1106 nucleotides long. It is a transcript of the gene named glyceraldehyde-3-phosphate dehydrogenase pseudogene, with no coding region annotated. The transcript has a single exon. Lineage: Eukaryota; Metazoa; Chordata; Mammalia; Primates; Tarsiidae. The record is from RefSeq and is a predicted model, not a curated record.
AGACACCAUGGUAAAGGCACAGGUCAGAGUAAAUGCCAUGUCGGGCGCCUGGUCACCAGGGCUGCUUUUAACUCUGGCAAAGUGAUUAUUGUCACCAUCAAUGACCCCUUCAUUGACCUCAACUACAUGGUGUACAUGUUCCAAUAUGACUCCACCCAUGGCAAGUUCCAUGGCACUGUCAAGGCUGAAAACAGGAAGCUUGUCAUCAAUGGAAGUCCUAUUACCAUCUUCCAGGAGCGUUGUCCUAGCAAAAUCAAAUGGGGUGACGCCAGGACUGAUUAUAUAGUGGAGUCCACCGUUAUCUUCACUACCUUAGAGAAGGCUGGGGUUCGCUUGCAGGGGGGAGCCAAAAGGGUCAUCAUCUCUGCCCCCUCCGCCGACACCCCCAUGUUUGCGAUGGGCGUGAGCCAUGAGAAGUACCAGAACAACCUCACGAUUGUCAGCAACGCCUCUUGUGCCACAAACAGCGUAGUUCCCCUGGCCAAGGUCAUCCACAACAACUUGGGCAUCGUGGAGGGACUCAUGACCACCCUCCAUACCAUCACUGCCACCCAGAAGACUGUGGAUGACCCUUCUGGGAAGCUAUGGCACAAUGACCGCAGGGUCCUCUAGAAUAUCAUCCCUUCAUCCACUGGGGCUGCCAAGGCCCUGGGCAAGGUCAUCCCUGAGUUGAACGGGAAGUUCACGGGCAUGGCCUCCCAUGUCCCCACCACCAAUGUGUCCGUUAUGAACCUGACCUGCUGCCUGGAGAAACCCACCCGAUAUGAUGACAUCAAGAAGGUAGUGAAGCAGGCAUCUGAGGGCCCCCUCAAGGGCAUCCUGGGCGUCACUGAGCACCAGGUUGUGUCCUCUAACUUUAACAGCAACACCCACUCUUCCACCUUUGAUGCUGGGACUGGCAUUGCCCUCAACGACCACUUUGUCAAACUCAUCUCUUGGUAUGACAUUGAAUUUGGCUACAGCAACAGGAUGGUCAACCUCAUGGCUCACAUGGCCUCCAAGGAGUAAGAGCCUGUGGACCACCAGCCCCAGCAAGAUCACGAGAGGAAGAGAGAAGCCCUCAGCUGCUAGGGAGUCCCCGACCACACUGAGAACUUCUCCUCCUC